GAUGAACGCUGGCGGCGUGCCUAAUACAUGCAAGUCGAGCGAACGGACGAGAAGCUUGCUUCUCUGAUGUUAGCGGCGGACGGGUGAGUAACACGUGGACAACCUACCUAUAAGACUGGGAUAACUUCGGGAAACCGUAGCUAAUACCGGAUAAUAUUUUGAACCGCAUGGUUCAAAAGUGAAAGACGGUCUUGCUGUCACUUAUAGAUGGAUCCGCGCUGCAUUAGCUAGUUGGUAAGGUAACGGCUUACCAAGGCAACGAUGCAUAGCCGACCUGAGAGGGUGAUCGGCCACACUGGAACUGAGACACGGUCCAGACUCCUACGGGAGGCAGCAGUAGGGAAUCUUCCGCAAUGGGCGAAAGCCUGACGGAGCAACGCCGCGUGAGUGAUGAAGGUCUUCGGAUCGUAAAACUCUGUUAUUAGGGAAGAACAUAUGUGUAAGUAACUGUGCACAUCUUGACGGUACCUAAGCAGAAAGCCACGGCUAACUACGU
RNAcentral lists this ribosomal RNA (496 nucleotides) under uncultured bacterium. Its description in RNAcentral is "partial 16S ribosomal RNA". It matches the Rfam family "Bacterial small subunit ribosomal RNA", at positions 28 to 506 of the family's 1533-position model. The record is from RNAcentral.